Long non-coding RNA from Chinchilla lanigera (long-tailed chinchilla), 1200 nucleotides. RefSeq lists it as uncharacterized. NCBI's taxonomy places the organism in Eukaryota, Metazoa, Chordata, Mammalia, Rodentia, Chinchillidae. The record is from RefSeq and is a predicted model, not a curated record. The transcript has 3 exons.
CUCCCUCCCAUCUGCCCUUCGGCAGCGGCUGGGCCUGCGACCUGCUUCUGACCCUGCUGCAGAGAAGAUGUUGAUCUCCUGUUACUGGAAAACAGGAAUUAGCUUGUCUGUUUGAGGAUGUGGUUGGAGCUUUAUAAAAAGGAUAUAGAAGAAAUCUGUGCAGACUGCCAGCUCCGUUAUGCUGCCGACCGCUUCCAGCAGAAGGAGGACCUUCGCGGCCAGAUAUUUCAGAAGCUCUGGCGAUGAUGCCAUGGAUUUGAGACCUCAACCAGGGCGCCAGCUCCAAUGGCAAAGACUUCCCAAGUGUCAGUGUGGCUCCACCAGCAGCCACCACCGAGUGAAGCCUGUAGGAUUUCAGGGCCAUCUGGAAGCCAUCCACUCUGCUCAACUCUUCAGAGUGAUCCCAAGACGUGGGGGCCACCAUGAGUCCAGAAGAGACCUAGAGGUUUAGGCCGGGGGACAACACAGUCCCCACCUCUUGCUCACUGACACUGUGUCUGGCCCACACACUGGGCUCCCAGGAGGGAGGAGGAGGCUGUGUUACAACUGGAUCCAGAUCCAACGUAGGAGGCAGGGUUGGCAACUGCAGUGUCACUAAAUGGUGUCCAAGGCGGACAAAGAGGAAAUGAAGACCUCAACUCACCGGCCGCUUCCCCCAAACGCAUACAGUCGGUCCGUAGAGUCAACGCUCAUCACAGAGAAACAUCAGUGAGCAGCACAGGCAGAUCACAAAUAAGGAAGCAGCUGCAGUUUGUGGAGCUGAUGGGACACUGCUGUAAUGAAGAUCCACUCACAGAACAGGGCUGGAUUUUACGGAUCCGCUGGGGUGGGCUGAUGUCUGGCUGAUCGUUAUCUCAGGGCUGCUUGCAGAAUAGCUCUGGAGACACCCUCAUUGCUUGAGGAGACUAUUCAGGCUCCCUGAGACCAUUGUCCCUGUAUGGAGCAGUCUCACUCUAGUGCAGACUUUGCGGGAAUCCAGCUGACCACAGGUCGAGGACAAUGACUGGGGACUUCAGGGUGCUCAUGGAUGGUUGAAUGUCUCCAUAAAUCUCUUAUCUCAGUGUUCUGGGCUUAAAGGGGGAUGAGAUAGGCUUUGUAAAUAUAGGGCUAAUCUGGCUUUUCCAUCCACAUUCUCGAAGUGACCACCAGGCCUGUGUGCAGAGCCCAGCGUGUCCGGUAAUAAACAAAGCUCAGGCUUUG